This 440-nucleotide ribosomal RNA is filed under the name uncultured bacterium. RNAcentral's name for it is "partial 16S ribosomal RNA". It matches the Rfam family "Bacterial small subunit ribosomal RNA", at positions 339 to 795 of the family's 1533-position model. The record is from RNAcentral.
CUACGGGGGGCUGCAGUGAGGAAUAUUGCACAAUGGGGGGAACCCUGAUGCAGCAACGCCGCGUGGAGGAUGACGCAUUUCGGUGUGUAAACUCCUUUUAUAUGUCAAGAAAAUGACGGUAGCAUAUGAAUAAGCACCGGCUAACUCCGUGCCGGCAGCCGCGGUAAUAGCGGAGGGUGCAAGCGUUACUCGGAAUCACUGGGCGUAAAGGACGCGUAGGCGGGUUGGAAAGUCAGGUGUGAAAUCCUACAGCUUAACUGUAGAACUGCACUUGAAACUUCUAAUCUAGAGUAUGGGAGGGGGAGAUGGAAUUAGUGGUGUAGGGGUAAAAUCCGUAGAUAUCACUAGGAAUACCUAAAGCGAAGGCGAUCUCCUGGAACAUUACUGACGCUAAGGCGUGAAAGCGUGGGGAGCAAACAGGAUUAGAUACCCUUGUAGUC